Molecule: ribosomal RNA, 1334 nt
Filed under: Arthrobacter sp.
Lineage: Bacteria; Bacillati; Actinomycetota; Actinomycetes; Micrococcales; Micrococcaceae
Also listed under: 1 other name
Description: bacterial SSU rRNA
Rfam family: Bacterial small subunit ribosomal RNA
Source: RNAcentral
UUGCUGGGGGAUUAGUGGCGAACGGGUGAGUAACACGUGAGUAACCUGCCCUUGACUCUGGGAUAAGCCUGGGAAACUGGGUCUAAUACCGGAUAUGACUCCUCAUCGCAUGGUGGGGGGUGGAAAGCUUUUGUGGUUUUGGAUGGACUCGCGGCCUAUCAGCUUGUUGGUGGGGUAAUGGCCUACCAAGGCGACGACGGGUAGCCGGCCUGAGAGGGUGACCGGCCACACUGGGACUGAGACACGGCCCAGACUCCUACGGGAGGCAGCAGUGGGGAAUAUUGCACAAUGGGCGCAAGCCUGAUGCAGCGACGCCGCGUGAGGGAUGACGGCCUUCGGGUUGUAAACCUCUUUCAGUAGGGAAGAAGCGUAAGUGACGGUACCUGCAGAAGAAGCGCCGGCUAACUACGUGCCAGCAGCCGCGGUAAUACGUAGGGCGCAAGCGUUAUCCGGAAUUAUUGGGCGUAAAGAGCUCGUAGGCGGUUUGUCGCGUCUGCUGUGAAAGACCGGGGCUCAACUCCGGUUCUGCAGUGGGUACGGGCAGACUAGAGUGCAGUAGGGGAGACUGGAAUUCCUGGUGUAGCGGUGAAAUGCGCAGAUAUCAGGAGGAACACCGAUGGCGAAGGCAGGUCUCUGGGCUGUAACUGACGCUGAGGAGCGAAAGCAUGGGGAGCGAACAGGAUUAGAUACCCUGGUAGUCCAUGCCGUAAACGUUGGGCACUAGGUGUGGGGGACAUUCCACGUUUUCCGCGCCGUAGCUAACGCAUUAAGUGCCCCGCCUGGGGAGUACGGCCGCAAGGCUAAAACUCAAAGGAAUUGACGGGGGCCCGCACAAGCGGCGGAGCAUGCGGAUUAAUUCGAUGCAACGCGAAGAACCUUACCAAGGCUUGACAUGAACCGGUAAUACCUGGAAACAGGUGCCCCGCUUGCGGUCGGUUUACAGGUGGUGCAUGGUUGUCGUCAGCUCGUGUCGUGAGAUGUUGGGUUAAGUCCCGCAACGAGCGCAACCCUCGUUCUAUGUUGCCAGCGGUUCGGCCGGGGACUCAUAGGAGACUGCCGGGGUCAACUCGGAGGAAGGUGGGGACGACGUCAAAUCAUCAUGCCCCUUAUGUCUUGGGCUUCACGCAUGCUACAAUGGCCGGUACAAAGGGUUGCGAUACUGUGAGGUGGAGCUAAUCCCAAAAAGCCGGUCUCAGUUCGGAUUGGGGUCUGCAACUCGACCCCAUGAAGUCGGAGUCGCUAGUAAUCGCAGAUCAGCAACGCUGCGGUGAAUACGUUCCCGGGCCUUGUACACACCGCCCGUCAAGUCACGAAAGUUGGUAACACCCGAAGCC